Molecule: ribosomal RNA, 495 nt
Filed under: uncultured bacterium
Lineage: Bacteria
Description: partial 16S ribosomal RNA
Rfam family: Bacterial small subunit ribosomal RNA
Source: RNAcentral
GAUGAACGCUGGCGGCGUGCCUAAUACAUGCAAGUAGAACGCUGAAGGAGGAGCUUGCUCUUCUGGAUGAGUUGCGAACGGGUGAGUAACGCGUAGGUAACCUGCCUGGUAGCGGGGGAUAACUAUUGGAAACGAUAGCUAAUACCGCAUGACAACAGUUAUUGCAUGAUAACUGUUUAAAAGGGGCAACUGCUCCACUACCAGAUGGACCUGCGUUGUAUUAGCUAGUUGGUGAGGUAACGGCUCACCAAGGCGACGAUACAUAGCCGACCUGAGAGGGUGAUCGGCCACACUGGGACUGAGACACGGCCCAGACGCCUACGGGAGGCAGCAGUAGGGAAUCUUCGGCAAUGGACGGAAGUCUGACCGAGCAACGCCGCGUGAGUGAAGAAGGUUUUCGGAUCGUAAAGCUCGGUUGUAAGAGAAGAACGAGUGUGAGAGUGGAAAGUUCACACUGUGACGGUAUCUUACCAGAAAGGGAGGGCUAACUACGUG